This 1084-nucleotide long non-coding RNA is filed under the name Salmo salar (Atlantic salmon). RNAcentral's name for it is "lncRNA (ENSSSAG00000119804.1)". Lineage: Eukaryota; Metazoa; Chordata; Actinopteri; Salmoniformes; Salmonidae. The record is from RNAcentral.
AAACAAGUUGCAAGUACACACAUGCGUCUUCAAGUAUUCACAUAAAUGAACACAGAAAGACAUGAUGCAGAACAUUGCUAUUUACUGCUGGGAAGGAGAGAAAGAAGAGAAAGGAGAAAUAAUCCAUCUCACAGUUAUUGAUUUCCUCUGCUACUGAACUCACCAGGCGAGAUGACAGGAGACGACGUGAGGCGAGGCAAGAGCAGACAACGGGAGAGGGCGUGACGUGAGAGUAGACAACAAGAGAUGGCGUGAAGCGAGAGCAGACAACGAAAGACAACAUGAGGCGAGAGUAGACAAAGGGAGAUGACGUGGGGUGAGGUGAGAGCAGACAACGGGAGACGACGUGAGGCGAGAGCAGACAACAGGAGACGACAUGAGGCGAGAGCAGACAACGGGAGACGACGUGGGGUGAGGUGAGAGCAGACCAUGGGAGACGGUGUGACGUGAGAACAGACAACAGGAGACGGCGUGAGGAGAGAACAGACAACAGGAGAUGAUGUGAGGCGAGAAUAGACAACGGGAGAUGACAUGAGGUGAGAGUAAACAACAGGAGAUGAUGUGGGGUGAGGUGAGAGCAGACAACGGGAGAUGGUGUAAUGUGAAAACAGAUAUCAGGAGAUGGCGUGAGGCGAGAACAGACAACGGGAGACGACAUGAGGUGAGAACAGACAACGGGAGACGACGUGAGGCGAGAACAGACAACAGGAGAACAGACAACACGAGAUGUCGUGAGGCGAGAACAGACCACAUGAGACAAUAGCGGAUUUGGCUAACUGAGGAACUGCUGUCUGUCACAUCUUCACAGGUGAUAAUAUUCAUAGGUGACAAUUACUGGAUGUAAACCUAUGAAAAAUGGAAAAUGGAAAAUACAUGUGUUGAGACACUGCAGUAACCAUUUAUUGUAACUCGAGAGACGAACAUGAUCCUGUACAGUAUUGCCAUGAUUUUGCUAGAAGUAGAUUACUGGAUGCGUAUUCGAACCAAGGAAAAGUAAGGCUGUACAGUCUAGAUGCCUUGGUGUACAGUCUACAGGCCUGCGUGUACAGUCAAGAGACCUGGCUAUACAGUCUAGAUGCCCCGG